CAUUGGUCGAGAGCUAGUGCCACUCUCCUGAUGAGUCCAAGGCAUGAUGAAACCAGUG
Molecule: non-coding RNA, 58 nt
Filed under: Helianthus annuus (common sunflower)
Lineage: Eukaryota; Viridiplantae; Streptophyta; Magnoliopsida; Asterales; Asteraceae
Source: RNAcentral